Long non-coding RNA from Amphimedon queenslandica, 862 nucleotides. RefSeq lists it as uncharacterized. The transcript is spliced from 7 exons. NCBI's taxonomy places the organism in Eukaryota, Metazoa, Porifera, Demospongiae, Haplosclerida, Niphatidae. The record is from RefSeq and is a predicted model, not a curated record.
GACACUUAACUAGUUAUUUUAUAAUCAUAAAUCCAACAUCAAAGGAGACAUACAUUGCUUAUAUUUUUGCUGGCUCUCUUUCUUUAUUGACGCUCAUGCUUUUAUUUGUGAAUUUGAUUUUUUUGCAGGAAGAAAGCUUGGAGGAUCUAUGAGGAUUACAUUAACUUGUGCUAUAUAUUCUAAACUUUUGAAGCUAAGCCAGGUUACAAUAAGUAGUGUCACUAUGGGACAUGUGAUUAACAUUGCUUCAAAUGAUGUUCACAGAUUUGAUGAGGGCAUAGUGUAUUUUGCUUUCUUUGUUGCAUGUCCACUUCAUGUUGGAGCAGUGACUUAUUUACUCUAUGGAAGACUCCAAUGGGCAACAUUUAUACUACUAGGACUGCUACUAUCACUAAUCCAACUUCUAAUUACUUUUACUCAAGGCUAAGGUUUAAAGCAGCUAGAGUAACUGAUAAUAGAGUUAAAGUGAUGAAUGAAGUCAUCAGUGGAAUUAGAGUCAUUAAAAUGUACGGCUGGGAAUAUGCUUUCAGUAGACUAAUAGCAAGAAUAAGAAGUUUUGAAGUUGAUUGAAAGUACCACCGACAAUACGUUAGCAUCUAUUGAACCAAAGCAAGCCUCAGUAUUAUAUUGAUGGACUUGAUCCUGAUUGACAACCUCUUUAUCCUUUCCUCUCUCCCUCUCCUUUUAUACUCUUCACUUAUUUUCUAUCUUUUUAUCUUUUUUGUUUUAUUAUGCACUGUACAUUCCAUUGGAAGGGUCCAAGAAUUGUACAAGAUAUACUUGCAAUACAAAUCAUAUGUAGAACAAAGGUUUAAGAUACUGUAUGAGAUGGGGCAGUUAGAACAAAAGAGGUAAUUGUAUU